This 452-nucleotide ribosomal RNA is filed under the name uncultured bacterium. RNAcentral's name for it is "partial 16S ribosomal RNA". It matches the Rfam family "Bacterial small subunit ribosomal RNA", at positions 29 to 523 of the family's 1533-position model. The record is from RNAcentral.
AGCGAACGCUGGCGGCAGGCUUAACACAUGCAAGUCGAACGCUCGUAGCAAUACGGGAGUGGCAGACGGGUGAGUAACGCGUGGGAAUAUGCCUUUUGGUUCGGAAUAACUCAGGGAAACUUGAGCUAAUACCGGAUAAGCCCGUGAGGGGAAAGAUUUAUCGCCAAAAGAUUAGGCCCGCGUCCGAUUAGCUAGUUGGUGAGGUAAUGGCUCACCAAGGCGACGAUCGGUAGCUGGUCUGAGAGGAUGAUCAGCCACAUUGGGACUGAGACACGGCCCAAACUCCUCCGGGAGGCAGCAGUGGGGAAUAUUGGACAAUGGGCGCAAGCCUGAUCCAGCCAUGCCGCGUGGGUGAUGAAGGCCUUAGGGUUGUAAAGCUCUUUUGUCCGGGAAGAUAAUGACGGUACCGGAAGAAUAAGCCCCGGCUAACUUCGUGCCAGCAGCCGCCGUAA